GAUGAACGCUGGCGGCGUGCCUAAUACAUGCAAGUCGAGCGAACAGACGAGGAGCUUGCUCCUCUGACGUUAGCGGCGGACGGGUGAGUAACACGUGGAUAACCUACCUAUAAGACUGGGAUAACUUUGGGAAACCGGAGCUAAUACCGGAUAAUAUAUUGAACCGCAUGGUUCAAUAGUGAAAGACGGUUUUGCUGUCACUUAUAGAUGGAUCCGCGCCGCAUUAGCUAGUUGGUAAGGUAACGGCUUACCAAGGCGACGAUGCGUAGCCGACCUGAGAGGGUGAUCGGCCACACUGGAACUGAGACACGGUCCAGACUCCUACGGGAGGCAGCAGUAGGGAAUCUUCCGCAAUGGGCGAAAGCCUGACGGAGCAACGCCGCGUGAGUGAUGAAGGUCUUCGGAUCGUAAAACUCUGUUAUUAGGGAAGAACAAAUGUGUAAGUAACUAUGCACGUCUUGACGGUACCUAAUGAGAAAGCCACGGCUAACUACGUG
RNAcentral lists this ribosomal RNA (497 nucleotides) under uncultured bacterium. Its description in RNAcentral is "partial 16S ribosomal RNA". It matches the Rfam family "Bacterial small subunit ribosomal RNA", at positions 28 to 507 of the family's 1533-position model. The record is from RNAcentral.